RNAcentral lists this ribosomal RNA (440 nucleotides) under uncultured bacterium. RNAcentral describes it as "partial 16S ribosomal RNA". It matches the Rfam family "Bacterial small subunit ribosomal RNA", at positions 338 to 795 of the family's 1533-position model. The record is from RNAcentral.
CCUACGGGUGGCAGCAGUGGGGAAUUUUGCACAAUGGGGGAAACCCUGAUGGAGCGAUGCCGCGUGAGUGAAGAAGUAAUUCGUGACGUAAAGCUCUAUUAUCAGAGAAGAAAAUGACGGUACCUGAGUAAGAAGCCCCUGCUAACUACGUGCGAGGAGGCGGGGGAAUACGGUGGGGGCAAGCGUUAGCCGGUUUUGCUGGGUGGAAAGUGAGCGUAGACGGCAGGGCAAGUCGGGAGGGAAAGGCGGGGGGUCAAACCCCGGACUGCUCUGGAAACUGUACGGCUGGAGUGCAGGAGAGGUCAGUGGAAUUCCAGGUGUAGCGGUAAAAUGCGUAGAUAUAAGGAGGAACACCAGUGGCGAAGGCGGCUUACUGGCCUGUAACUGACGUUGAGGCACGAAAGCGUGGGGAGCAAACAGGAUUAGAUACCCUUGUAGUC